ACACAUGCAGUCGACGCUCUCUUCGGAGAGAGUGGCAGACGGGUGAGUAACGCGCGGGAACCUACCUAUCGGUUCGGAACAACAGUUAGAAAUGGCUGCUAAUACCGGAUACGCCCUUUGGGGGAAAGAUUUAUCGCCGAUAAAUGGGCCCGCGUUAGAUUAGCUAGUUGGUGAGGUAAUGGCUCACCAAGGCUACGAUCUAUAGCUGGUUUGAGAGGAUGAUCAGCCACACUGGGACUGAGACACGGCCCAGACUCCUACGGGGGGCAGCAGUGAGGAAUCUUGGACAAUGGGCGCAAGCCUGAUCCAGCCAUGCCGCGUGAGUGAAGAAGGCCUUAGGGUUGUAAAGCUCUUUCAACGGUGAAGAUAAUGACGGUAGCCGUAGAAGAAGCUCCGGCUAACUUCGUGCCAGCAGCCGCGGUAAUACGAAGGGAGCUAGCGUUGUUCGGAAUUACUGGGCGUAAAGCGCGCGUAGGCGGAUUUUUAAGUCAGGGGUGAAAUCCCGGAGCUCAACUCCGGAACUGCCUCUGAUACUGGAAAUCUAGAGAUUGGAAGAGGUGUGUGGAACUCCUAGUGUAGAGGUGGAAUUCGUAGAUAUUAGGAAGAACACCAGAGGCGAAGGCGACACACUGGUCCAAUACUGACGCUGAGGCGCGAAAGCGUGGGGGAGCAAACAGGAUUAG
Molecule: ribosomal RNA, 683 nt
Filed under: uncultured bacterium
Lineage: Bacteria
Description: bacterial SSU rRNA
Rfam family: Bacterial small subunit ribosomal RNA
Source: RNAcentral